This 497-nucleotide ribosomal RNA is filed under the name uncultured bacterium. Its description in RNAcentral is "partial 16S ribosomal RNA". It matches the Rfam family "Bacterial small subunit ribosomal RNA", at positions 28 to 507 of the family's 1533-position model. The record is from RNAcentral.
GAUGAACGCUGGCGGCGUGCCUAAUACAUGCAAGUCGAGCGAACGGACGAGAAGCUUGCUUCUCUGAUGUUAGCGGCGGACGGGUGAGUAACACGUGGAUAACCUACCUAUAAGACUGGGAUAACUUCGGGAAACCGGAGCUAAUACCGGAUAAUAUUUUGAACCGCAUGGUUCAAAAGUGAAAGACGGUCUUGCUGUCACUUAUAGAUGGAUCCGCGCUGCAUUAGCUAGUUGGUAAGGUAACGGCUUACCAAGGCAACGAUGCAUAGCCGACCUGAGAGGGUGAUCGGCCACACUGGAACUGAGACACGGUCCAGACUCCUACGGGAGGCAGCAGUAGGGAAUCUUCCGCAAUGGACGAAAGCCUGACGGAGCAACGCCGCGUGAGUGAUGAAGGUCUUCGGAUCGUAAAGCUCUGUUAUUAGGGAAGAACAUAUGUGUAAGUAACUGUGCACAUCUUGACGGUACCUAAUCAGAAAGCCACGGCUAACUACGUG